This 253-nucleotide ribosomal RNA is filed under the name uncultured bacterium. RNAcentral's name for it is "partial 16S ribosomal RNA". It matches the Rfam family "Bacterial small subunit ribosomal RNA", at positions 524 to 776 of the family's 1533-position model. The record is from RNAcentral.
CACGUAGGGCGCAAGCGUUGUCCGGAAUUAUUGGGCGUAAAGAGCUCGUAGGCGGUCUGUUACGUCUGCUGUGAAAACCCGGGGCUUAACCCUGGGCUUGCAGUGGAUACGGGCAGACUAGAGGCAGGUAGGGGAGAAUGGAAUUCCCGGUGUAGCGGUGAAAUGCGCAGAUAUCGGGAGGAACACCGGUGGCGAAGGCGGUUCUCUGGGCCUUACCUGACGCUGAGGCGCGAAAGCUAGGGGAGCAAACAGG